This 465-nucleotide ribosomal RNA is filed under the name uncultured bacterium. Its description in RNAcentral is "partial 16S ribosomal RNA". It matches the Rfam family "Bacterial small subunit ribosomal RNA", at positions 338 to 795 of the family's 1533-position model. The record is from RNAcentral.
CCUACGGGAGGCAGCAGUAGGGAAUCUUCCACAAUGGGCGCAAGCCUGAUGGAGCAACGCCGCGUGGGUGAAGAAGGUCUUCGGAUCGUAAAACCCUGUUGUUAGAGAAGAAAGUGCGUGAGAGUAACUGUUCACGUUUCGACGGUAUCUAACCAGAAAGCCACGGCUAACUACGUGCCAGCAGCCGCGGUAAUACGUAGGUGGCAAGCGUUAUCCGGAUUUAUUGGGCGUAAAGGGAACGCAGGCGGUCUUUUAAGUCUGAUGUGAAAGCUUUCGGCUUAACCGGAGUAGUGCAUUGGAAACUGGGAGACUUGAGUGCAGAAGAGGAGAGUGGAACUCCAUGUGUAGCGGUGAAAUGCGUAGAUAUAUGGAAGAACACCAGUGGCGAAAGCGGCUCUCUGGUCUGUAACUGACGCUGAGGUUCGAAAGCGUGGGUAGCAAACAGGAUUAGAUACCCCGGUAGUC